GGUAGCGUAGUCGAGCGGCGUAGGCGCUGGUUUAAGGCAACAGUCCCUUUGGAGGCGUGAGUUCGAAUCCCACCGCUGUCA
Non-coding RNA from Eumeta japonica, 81 nucleotides. The record is from the annotation of a GenBank genome assembly. NCBI's taxonomy places the organism in Eukaryota, Metazoa, Arthropoda, Insecta, Lepidoptera, Psychidae.